This 386-nucleotide ribosomal RNA is filed under the name uncultured bacterium. RNAcentral's name for it is "bacterial SSU rRNA". It matches the Rfam family "Bacterial small subunit ribosomal RNA", at positions 30 to 414 of the family's 1533-position model. The record is from RNAcentral.
AUUGAACGCUGGCGGCAUGCCUUACACAUGCAAGUCGAACGGCAGCACGGGAGCUUGCUCCUGGUGGCGAGUGGCGAACGGGUGAGUAAUAUAUCGGAACGUACCCUAGAGUGGGGGAUAACGCAGCGAAAGUUGCGCUAAUACCGCAUACGAUCUACGGAUGAAAGUGGGGGAUCGCAAGACCUCAUGCUCAUGGAGCGGCCGAUAUCUGAUUAGCUAGUUGGUGGGGUAAAGGCCUACCAAGGCUUCGAUCAGUAGCUGGUCUGAGAGGACGACCAGCCACACUGGAACUGAGACACGGUCCAGACUCCUACGGGAGGCAGCAGUGGGGAAUUUUGGACAAUGGGCGCAAGCCUGAUCCAGCAAUGCCGCGUGCAGGAUGAAGG